CCUGGCGACAAUAGCGGUUUGGAACCACCUGAUCCCAUCUCGAACUCAGAAGUGAAACGAACAUGCGCCGAUGAUAGUGUGAGGCUUCCUCAUG
Molecule: ribosomal RNA, 94 nt
Filed under: Legionella maioricensis
Lineage: Bacteria; Pseudomonadati; Pseudomonadota; Gammaproteobacteria; Legionellales; Legionellaceae
Source: RNAcentral